Molecule: small RNA, 128 nt
Filed under: Acinetobacter baumannii
Lineage: Bacteria; Pseudomonadati; Pseudomonadota; Gammaproteobacteria; Moraxellales; Moraxellaceae
Description: partial 6S RNA
Rfam family: 6S / SsrS RNA
About the family: E. coli 6S RNA was the first non coding RNA to be sequenced, but its function was unknown until recently. It consists of 184 nucleotides that fold into an extended hairpin structure with a large single-stranded internal bulge.
Source: RNAcentral
CUGUCUCUGGGAUGUUCGCCAGCCGGUCUGAUUCCCCUGAGCCGAUAUCAUCUCUUUAGGAUGGUGUUCUGCAUAUUUAGAGCGUAUGCCUACCCCGAGUAGGAAACCCAGCAAGUAUGCGUCACCUC